Long non-coding RNA from Antechinus flavipes (yellow-footed antechinus), 316 nucleotides. RefSeq lists it as uncharacterized. The transcript is spliced from 2 exons. Lineage: Eukaryota; Metazoa; Chordata; Mammalia; Dasyuromorphia; Dasyuridae. The record is from RefSeq and is a predicted model, not a curated record.
UUACAAGUCUCAUAACUUAAACAAGUAGUUUUGCUCGUAGCUAAACUACCUACAGGAGCUAAGGCAGUAGGAAGCUUCAUCAUUUCAUUAUGUCCUCUAACUUUACUACACAAAUUCAAAGAAGUAAUCGCCUUCUCAUCAAAAGAAUCAUCACUAAGGAUGAACUCUUGGAGAUUCUGGAACUGCUGUUGGCAAAGAACGAGCCAUUGUUGUUGAAGACACUUCUGAAAUACCAAAUAAUUUAUGAGCCAGUUCAUCAGUCAAGUCUGUAAAAUAGGAAGACAAUUAAAAUGUUAGCACAAUUUUAAAAUUUCAA